AACUGAAACCCGACUAGGACGUUCACCAGCUGAGGAUUCAUCCCAUCCAACCUGCAUUGUAUUACCUUGACCAUUUAAUUAUGAUAUAAAAUUUCUCCUGAGGACCUGUCUGAUCCUGCACCAGCUAACACUACAGGAAAUUCUGUUGAUCCAGGUGACACAGAGGAGGUUGAAGAAGACACGGGAGCUACUGCCCGGUUUAUGCGAGCAGAUGUUACUUAGACUAGCUAUUUUGAUUAUGCCAUUUUAUGUUUAGAAUGCUAGUCUAGAAUUAUUUUGAUGUGAUAGGGAGUCUGUGUCUCUGGGCCUGUUUGGAACCCCUAUAUGGUUUAUGUCUUUUUGAGCAGCCGGUUUACCACUGGGGCACAAAGGCUUGAAAACAAAAAUCCAUCUUGGGAGCAGCACAUUUGUUUUUACGAUGGGAGUUGGUGUACCUGAAGACUACGCCAUUGUGAAUUCUUCCA
Molecule: long non-coding RNA, 464 nt
Organism: Erigeron canadensis
Lineage: Eukaryota; Viridiplantae; Streptophyta; Magnoliopsida; Asterales; Asteraceae
Exons: 3
Source: RefSeq, a predicted model, not a curated record